GGGUUGUGAGGUUAAGCGACUAAGCGUACACGGUGGAUGCCCUGGCAGUCAGAGGCGAUGAAGGACGUGCUAAUCUGCGAUAAGCGUCGGUAAGGUGAUAUGAACCGUUAUAACCGGCGAUUUCCGAAUGGGGAAACCCAGUGUGAUCCGUCACACUAUCAUUAACUGAAUCCAUAGGUUAAUGAGGCGAACCGGGGGAACUGAAACAUCUAAGUACCCCGAGGAAAAGAAAUCAACCGAGAUUCCCCCAGUAGCGGCGAGCGAACGGGGAGCAGCCCAGAGCCUGAAUCAGUAUGUGUGUUAGUGGAAGCGUCUGGAAAGGCGUGCGAUACAGGGUGACAGCCCCGUACACAAAAAUGCACAUGCUGUGAGCUCGAUGAGUAGGGCGGGACACGUGGUAUCCUGUCUGAAUAUGGGGGGACCAUCCUCCAAGGCUAAAUACUCCUGACUGACCGAUAGUGAACCAGUACCGUGAGGGAAAGGCGAAAAGAACCCCGGCGAGGGGAGUGAAAAAGAACCUGAAACCGUGUACGUACAAGCAGUGGGAGCCUCUUUAUGGGGUGACUGCGUACCUUUUGUAUAAUGGGUCAGCGACUUAUAUUCUGUAGCAAGGUUAACCGAAUAGGGGAGCCGAAGGGAAACCGAGUCUUAACUGGGCGUUAAGUUGCAGGGUAUAGACCCGAAACCCGGUGAUCUAGCCAUGGGCAGGUUGAAGGUUGGGUAACACUAACUGGAGGACCGAACCGACUAAUGUUGAAAAAUUAGCGGAUGACUUGUGGCUGGGGGUGAAAGGCCAAUCAAACCGGGAGAUAGCUGGUUCUCCCCGAAAGCUAUUUAGGUAGCGCCUCGUGAAUUCAUCUCCGGGGGUAGAGCACUGUUUCGGCAAGGGGGUCAUCCCGACUUACCAACCCGAUGCAAACUGCGAAUACCGGAGAAUGUUAUCACGGGAGACACACGGCGGGUGCUAACGUCCGUCGUGAAGAGGGAAACAACCCAGACCGCCAGCUAAGGUCCCAAAGUCAUGGUUAAGUGGGAAACGAUGUGGGAAGGCCCAGACAGCCAGGAUGUUGGCUUAGAAGCAGCCAUCAUUUAAAGAAAGCGUAAUAGCUCACUGGUCGAGUCGGCCUGCGCGGAAGAUGUAACGGGGCUAAACCAUGCACCGAAGCUGCGGCAGCGACACUAUGUGUUGUUGGGUAGGGGAGCGUUCUGUAAGCCGUUGAAGGUGGCCUGUGAGGGUUGCUGGAGGUAUCAGAAGUGCGAAUGCUGACAUAAGUAACGAUAAAGCGGGUGAAAAGCCCGCUCGCCGGAAGACCAAGGGUUCCUGUCCAACGUUAAUCGGGGCAGGGUGAGUCGACCCCUAAGGCGAGGCCGAAAGGCGUAGUCGAUGGGAAACAGGUUAAUAUUCCUGUACUUGGUGUUACUGCGAAGGGGGGACGGAGAAGGCUAUGUUGGCCGGGCGACGGUUGUCCCGGUUUAAGCGUGUAGGCUGAUUUUCCAGGCAAAUCCGGAGAAUCAAGGCUGAGGCGUGAUGACGAGGCACUACGGUGCUGAAGCAACAAAUGCCCUGCUUCCAGGAAAAGCCUCUAAGCAUCAGGUAACAUCAAAUCGUACCCCAAACCGACACAGGUGGUCAGGUAGAGAAUACCAAGGCGCUUGAGAGAACUCGGGUGAAGGAACUAGGCAAAAUGGUGCCGUAACUUCGGGAGAAGGCACGCUGAUGGUAGGUGAAGCGACUUGCUCGUGGAGCUGAAAUCAGUCGAAGAUACCAGCUGGCUGCAACUGUUUAUUAAAAACACAGCACUGUGCAAACACGAAAGUGGACGUAUACGGUGUGACGCCUGCCCGGUGCCGGAAGGUUAAUUGAUGGGGUCAGCCGCAAGGCGAAGCUCUUGAUCGAAGCCCCGGUAAACGGCGGCCGUAACUAUAACGGUCCUAAGGUAGCGAAAUUCCUUGUCGGGUAAGUUCCGACCUGCACGAAUGGCGUAAUGAUGGCCAGGCUGUCUCCACCCGAGACUCAGUGAAAUUGAACUCGCUGUGAAGAUGCAGUGUACCCGCGGCAAGACGGAAAGACCCCGUGAACCUUUACUAUAGCUUGACACUGAACAUUGAGCCUUGAUGUGUAGGAUAGGUGGGAGGCUUUGAAGUGUGGACGCCAGUCUGCAUGGAGCCGACCUUGAAAUACCACCCUUUAAUGUUUGAUGUUCUAACGUGGACCCGUGAUCCGGGUUGCGGACAGUGUCUGGUGGGUAGUUUGACUGGGGCGGUCUCCUCCUAAAGAGUAACGGAGGAGCACGAAGGUUGGCUAAUCCUGGUCGGACAUCAGGAGGUUAGUGCAAUGGCAUAAGCCAGCUUGACUGCGAGCGUGACGGCGCGAGCAGGUGCGAAAGCAGGUCAUAGUGAUCCGGUGGUUCUGAAUGGAAGGGCCAUCGCUCAACGGAUAAAAGGUACUCCGGGGAUAACAGGCUGAUACCGCCCAAGAGUUCAUAUCGACGGCGGUGUUUGGCACCUCGAUGUCGGCUCAUCACAUCCUGGGGCUGAAGUAGGUCCCAAGGGUAUGGCUGUUCGCCAUUUAAAGUGGUACGCGAGCUGGGUUUAGAACGUCGUGAGACAGUUCGGUCCCUAUCUGCCGUGGGCGCUGGAGAACUGAGGGGGGCUGCUCCUAGUACGAGAGGACCGGAGUGGACGCAUCACUGGUGUUCGGGUUGUCAUGCCAAUGGCACUGCCCGGUAGCUAAAUGCGGAAGAGAUAAGUGCUGAAAGCAUCUAAGCACGAAACUUGCCCCGAGAUGAGUUCUCCCUGAGACUUUAAGUCUCCUGAAGGAACGUUGAAGACGACGACGUUGAUAGGCCGGGUGUGUAAGCGCAGCGAUGCGUUGAGCUAACCGGUACUAAUGGACCGUGAGGCUUAACCUUACAACGCCGAAG
Molecule: ribosomal RNA, 2924 nt
Filed under: Escherichia marmotae
Lineage: Bacteria; Pseudomonadati; Pseudomonadota; Gammaproteobacteria; Enterobacterales; Enterobacteriaceae
Description: 23S ribosomal RNA
Rfam family: Bacterial large subunit ribosomal RNA
Source: RNAcentral